AUUGAACGCUGGCGGAAUGCUUUACACAUGCAAGUCGAACGGCAGCACGGGGCAACCUGGUGGCGAGUGGCGAACGGGUGAGUAAUACAUCGGAACGUGCCCAAUCGUGGGGGAUAACGUAGCGAAAGUUACGCUAAUACCGCAUACGAUCUACGGAUGAAAGCGGGGGGAUCGCAAGACCUCGCGCGAAUGGAGCGGCCGAUGUCAGAUUAGGUAGUUGGUGGGGGUAAAGGCUCACCAAGCCGACGAUCUGUAGCUGGUCUGAGAGGACGACCAGCCACACUGGGACUGAGACACGGCCCAGACUCCUACGGGAGGCAGCAGUGGGGAAUUUUGGACAAUGGGCGCAAGCCUGAUCCAGCCAUUCCGCGUGCAGGAUGAAGGCC
Molecule: ribosomal RNA, 386 nt
Filed under: uncultured bacterium
Lineage: Bacteria
Description: bacterial SSU rRNA
Rfam family: Bacterial small subunit ribosomal RNA
Source: RNAcentral